Molecule: long non-coding RNA, 201 nt
Organism: Bufo bufo (common toad)
Lineage: Eukaryota; Metazoa; Chordata; Amphibia; Anura; Bufonidae
Exons: 3
Source: RefSeq, a predicted model, not a curated record
CUGGCUGGAGGGAAGGGGUUAGGUCAAGAAAUUGUCAUGGGGGGCUGAGGGUUGCCAUUUCAAUUUUUUCCUUAGGCAGCAUGAAGACUAUGUACUCCCCUGCCCCUGGCCACAAAGCACUGGGGGAAGGGGGCUUAAGCUGAACUCUUGGACCAGGGCCCUUGAGUCGUUAGCUACGCCCCUGGAGGCAUGUAUGCGCAA